This 398-nucleotide ribosomal RNA is filed under the name uncultured bacterium. RNAcentral describes it as "bacterial SSU rRNA". It matches the Rfam family "Bacterial small subunit ribosomal RNA", at positions 361 to 776 of the family's 1533-position model. The record is from RNAcentral.
AUAUUGCACAAUGGGGGAAACCCUGAUGCAGCGACGCCGCGUGAGUGAAGAAGCGCCUCGGCGCGUAAAGCUCUGUCAGCAGGAACGAUAAUGACGGUACCUGAAGAAGAAGCCCCGGCCAACUACGUGCCAGCAGCCGCGGUAAUACGUAGGGGGCAAGCGUUAUCCGGAUUUACUGGGUGUAAAGGGAGCGUAGACGGCGAUGCAAGUCUGAAGUGAAAGGCGGGGGCCCAACCCCCGGACUGCUUUGGAAACUGUAUGGCUGGAGUGCAGGAGAGGUAAGUGGAAUUCCUAGUGUAGCGGUGAAAUGCGUAGAUAUUAGGAGGAACACCAGUGGCGAAGGCGGCUUACUGGACUGUAACUGACGUUGAGGCUCGAAAGCGUGGGGAGCAAACAGG